UACGGAGGGGGCAAGCGUUGUUCGGAAUCAUUGGGCGUAAAGGGCGCGUAGGCGGCCGACCAAGUCGGGUGUGAAAUCCCUCGGCUCAACCGAGGAACUGCACUCGAUACUGGUUGGCUAGAGUCCGGGAGGGGAUGGUGGAAUUCCCAGUGUAGCGGUGAAAUGCGUAGAUAUUGGGAAGAACACCGGUGGCGAAGGCGGCCAUCUGGACCGGAACUGACGCUGAGGCGCGAAAGCCAGGGGAGCGAAUGGG
Molecule: ribosomal RNA, 253 nt
Filed under: uncultured bacterium
Lineage: Bacteria
Description: partial 16S ribosomal RNA
Rfam family: Bacterial small subunit ribosomal RNA
Source: RNAcentral